This 85-nucleotide transfer RNA is filed under the name Felis catus (domestic cat). It matches the Rfam family "tRNA". From Rfam's summary of the family: Transfer RNA (tRNA) molecules are approximately 80 nucleotides in length. Their secondary structure includes four short double-helical elements and three loops (D, anti-codon, and T loops). Lineage: Eukaryota; Metazoa; Chordata; Mammalia; Carnivora; Felidae. The record is from Rfam by way of RNAcentral.
GCCUGGGUGGCUCAGUGGGUUAAGCAUCUGACUUCAGCUCAGGUCAUGAACUCACAGUCUGUGGGUUCAAACCCCACGUCCAGCU